AAAUUUGUAUUUAGAAAAUUGAUACCAACAUUAAGAAUAAGUUACCACAAUUUGCUAAUAGAAAAGGGACGCUAUCUUAAUGAAUUCGUUUUCAAACAGUUGGUAGAACUGAGGACAGUCAUUAUAAAAUUGAGAAAUAAAGCGGAGAAUGUGUCAAAGAGACAAUUACCCGAUCAAAAUGCAGAAAAAGCCAAGGCCUUCAACACAUUAGAAUAUAUCCUUCACCCGUAGUCGGGCUUGGGCUGCUUCUAAACAAUUAAUUCAAUGAUGUAAACUAGUUCAGCGAAAAUGCUCAUCAAACUAAACUCCGAAACAUAUAAAUGAACCAAAAUUUAAAAAAAAACAUACAAGACUAACAAAGGCCAGACGUUCUUCAAUACAUGGGACAGGCGCAAAAAUGCGACCGGAUGAUACAUGAUUUGUUAGAUCUCAAACCUCCCCCUAUACAUAAAGACAAUGUGGAAUUAUGAAAACAAAGACAUAAAAAUACAUACAGUAAAACGCAGGUCAACAGAAGUCCAUUAACGAUGUUAGAAUAUACUAGUAUAGGUAUGUGCAUGUAAAGAAUGUUGUUUAUUUCUAGUUUGUUAAGUUAAUUGUGUCACAUGCAUAAAUGUAUAUUAUAUGUAAUGACAAUAAAUUCAGAUUUGAAUUUGAAAUAUAUGCUGACAACACAAAAGUUUUAUUUUGUUCCGCAUCCUCAACAAAAC
RNAcentral lists this long non-coding RNA (710 nucleotides) under Mytilus galloprovincialis (Mediterranean mussel). Lineage: Eukaryota; Metazoa; Mollusca; Bivalvia; Mytilida; Mytilidae. The record is from RNAcentral.